GUGGGGAAUAUUGCGCAAUGGGGGAAACCCUGACGCAGCGACGCCGCGUGAAGGAUGAAGGCCUUCGGGUUGUAAACUUCUUUGAUGAGGGACGAACAGAUGACGGUACCUCAAAAACAAGCCACGGCUAACUACGUGCCAGCAGCCGCGGUAAUACGUAGGUGGCGAGCGUUGUCCGGAAUUACUGGGUGUAAAGGGCGUGUAGGCGGGGAUGCAAGUCAGAUGUGAAAUCCCGAGGCUCAACCUCGGAGCUGCAUCUGAAACUGUGUCUCUUGAGUGUCGGAGAGGAAAGCGGAAUUCCCAGUGUAGCGGUGAAAUGCGUAGAUAUUGGGAGGAACACCGGUGGCGAAGGCGGUUUUCUGGACGACAACUGACGCUGAGGCGCGAAAGCGUGGGGAGCAAACAGGAUUAGAAACCCUAGUAGUCC
This 427-nucleotide ribosomal RNA is filed under the name uncultured bacterium. RNAcentral's name for it is "bacterial SSU rRNA". It matches the Rfam family "Bacterial small subunit ribosomal RNA", at positions 354 to 796 of the family's 1533-position model. The record is from RNAcentral.